This 414-nucleotide ribosomal RNA is filed under the name uncultured Sphingobacterium sp. Its description in RNAcentral is "bacterial SSU rRNA". It matches the Rfam family "Bacterial small subunit ribosomal RNA", at positions 9 to 412 of the family's 1533-position model. The record is from RNAcentral. Lineage: Bacteria; Pseudomonadati; Bacteroidota; Sphingobacteriia; Sphingobacteriales; Sphingobacteriaceae.
GAGUUUGAUCAUGGCUCAGGAUGAACGCUAGCGGCAGGCUUAAUACAUGCAAGUCGUGGGGCAGCAGGUCCCGACGCAAGUCGGGAUGCUGGCGACCGGCAAACGGGUGCGGAACACGUACACAACCUUCCUUUAAGUGGGGAAUAGCCCGGGGAAACCCGGAUUAAUACCCCGUAACAUAAUGAAGUGGCAUCACUUUAUUAUUAUAGCAGCAGUGCGCUUAUAGAUGGGUGUGCGACUGAUUAGGCAGUUGGCGGGUAACGGCCCACCAAACCUACGAUCAGUAACUGGUGUGAGAGCACGACCAGUCACGACGGGCACUGAGACACGGGCCCGACUCCUACGGGAGGCAGCAGUAAGGAAUAUUGGUCAAUGGACGCAAGUCUGAACCAGCCAUGCCGCGUGGAGGAUGAA